CUUCUUGUGAUGAGAAUACUGUCCAGUUCUGCUACUGAAGGAAGGAGAUGACUACUAUAGUGCUGAAGAAG
Cricetulus griseus (Chinese hamster) is the source of this 71-nucleotide small nucleolar RNA. The record is from Ensembl. Lineage: Eukaryota; Metazoa; Chordata; Mammalia; Rodentia; Cricetidae.